RNAcentral lists this non-coding RNA (29 nucleotides) under Mus musculus (house mouse). Lineage: Eukaryota; Metazoa; Chordata; Mammalia; Rodentia; Muridae. The record is from RNAcentral.
UAAGUGUCUUUGGAGUUCUUUUCCGGUUU